GCAGUUUUUUGUUAUUCAAAAGUAGUUUUUGGAGGUUACAAGACCUCCUGUUGUCAUUAGCGCUCAUAAACAUGUCAAUCUGGGGCCAAGUAUGCGAUCCAAUUUUCGUUUUGUGUCAUAGCCCCAGCUUGGGUUUCACUAUUUUUUUAUAGUCAGACUUUGCUGCAUUUGUUGCAGGCAUUUAUACUGUCAAUUUUUGGCCUAGGCAUUGGCAUGUGCAUGAAGACAAUUUUAUGAGCAGUAUACAUAUCAAUGACAUCCCCAUGUCCAUAGGCAGGAAACCAUGACUAUCUGUUGAUCAACGAGCUAGUCAACUAGAGGCUCACUAGGGACACAUUGUGGUCUAUGUAUUCACACAUGUAUUACGAUUUCCGGAUAAAACAAUUACAGCAUGAAUAAUAGACAAUUAUCAUGAACAAGGAAAUAUAAUAAUCAUUUUAUUAUUGCCUCUAGGGCAUAUUUCCAACAAUCUCUCAUGAGCGUGCUCUCUCUCUCUCGGGCGCGCACACAGUCCAAAUCUCGCAGGCAUAGUUGCGGCCGACCUUAUUAGGCUUUUUUCCUGUGGCUGCGCAUGUUCACACCUACACAGAAAAGUGGCUGACAGAAUAUAAAUUUCAGUCGAUUGACACCUAGUCGGUCCCGGCUCGCCUCGCUGCUAAUGUCGCUGACUGAAUCAUCAGCCAUCUUGGCGAUGUCUUUCAGCAGGUAGCCGACGAACCCGUUCAGCAGCUCCUGUGCAAUGCCAAUGCGCAGGACGGUGACCUGACGGGGCUCCCUCCUGACUUCCGGAUGGUGGUAUGACCAAAGCCUCGGUUGCCUAUCCCGACGGCCACCAUGCUGUGACUCCUCCCCGGCGCUAGGCGAAGCAACAUCUUCUGGCUGCCGACGGCUGCCAGCACAGUAUCUUCUCCCGUGUCACGACUGCCGAUGGCAGUGGCAGCCAACUUCUCCACACGCCAUGGCGGCGGCCGGAAGCGACGAGGUCUCUUCCUCCUGCGCGGGCCAGUCAUGUAUACAGUCACCUGCCCAGUCAGCACGGUAAAAGACAACAACACCACAAAUCAUCUCCAGAACCAUUUGGGUGGACAUUUUUCCGGUUUGCCACAUUUUAGGGGCUUAAAAAUAUGUUUUGAAGUUAGGGGUAUUUUUUUCGAAAGUACGCAAAUUGCAUACCAUAGCUUUAUAGAAGAAGAUAAUUGCAAGUACAAGACAGCUACCACUCGCCGCGAACAAUGACCGUAGCACCCACUCCACAACCGGCUAGUCCAAAGACAACCAACAACGACAACACAACUACAACGCAAAAGACCCUACCCUAAUCCGUAAACCUCGCCGCGUCUCAACCAACGACACCAUCCGCCGAAGAACGUUUGCGUCUCUACUGUGUUAAAAAAGAUAAAUAAAUAAAUAGAGAAAUCCCAAUGUACAUUUUUUCCCGUGCACAGCCAAGGAGCUAAAUAAAACCCGAAACUCGUCUAAAAAAGAAUAAAACCCUAGACUACUCACGGCGCAGUAGGGUACUAUCUAUGACCUCCGCCGCCUUGUCCUCCGGCCCGAAUAAGGCCUUUCCUAACUGGCUGCGUGCGCAACCAAUAUCGGAGCCGUCGCUGCACCCUGGGGAUCGGCGCUAGCGUGUCCCACAUGGCCCACACGGAUUUGGCUAUUUCAUUUUUCCGAGCGCCAUAUGAAGCGAAUACACGUCAGAUCGUAUCUGGCGUCCUACCUACGCUAGCGCAUAGCUUGUACUCACCUACCUCCCCGUCAACUACACCGUGACCAGGCUACCCCAUCCACCCAAGCCAGAGGCAAUUCAAAAUUCGAAUCCCAGUCGCAGCUGCAUUGACCGGCGAAACCACGCCCUCCUCAUCGCCGCGCUUGGAUCUCGAUAUUUCUUCACAAAUCAUCAAUGAAUCUCGGUGGGGAGUCAUUCACGGAUCUCUUGUUCAGGUUUCUCCUCUUUUUCUUUCCUUGUUUUCUACCGCAAAUCGCCAAAUCUUCAUCUUGCCAUGCCGAUGAACAGCUUCUGUUCCCAGCCGGUCACAACCGUGGGCAUCCUAGAUCUGGCAUUGCCAGAGGGAGGGGAGGUGCGGUGAUGGAGGGAAAGAUGGUGAUAGCGAUUCUCCUUCCUCAAGUUCUGCAUCUCAAGUUCAAGAGGCAACGGAAGAUUUUUUUCAAUGUCCCAGACAUUGACCAAACCGACAGUCACAGAGAGCAUCCAUCUGAAUCGCAACGCACUCCAACUAUGUGGCCUCAAAGGUGCGAGCUUAAUUGACCCCCACCCCUCCUUCCAGCGCCCCCCUCUUACAAUACAACUUUCAGUCAACUAGUACUCUCUUUUUCAGUAAAGUUGUUGGCUUGAUAAUGAUUUGAGGAUUCGAAUCAGCCCGAGCUUGGUAGAAUGGUCAACAACGGGUUCAGUUCUAGUUUUGGGAUAUCAUGUUCAGUUGAUUGCUGUCAACAAUUCGUUUAUUUUGGAGCAGUUUUUUGUUAUUCAAAAGUAGUUUUUGGAGGUUACAAGACCUCCUGUUGUCAUUAGCGCUCAUAAACAUGUCAAUCAGGGGCCAAGUAUGCGAUCCAAUUUUCGUUUUGUGUCAUAGCCCCAGCUUGGGUUUCACUAUUUUUUUAUAGUCAGACUUUGCUGCAUUUGUUGCAGGCAUUUAUACUGUCAAUUUUUGGCCUAGGCAUUGGCAUGUGCAUGAAGACAAUUUUAUGAGCAGUAUACAUAUCGAUGCCACACGGUUAAUUAUUCUGGAGCAAUUGGUUGUUGCAUAUAUAUAUGCAUACAGUAUCAAUUAGGUCAAUUGGUUGUUGCAUAUAUCAAUGCAUACAGUAUCCAUUAGGUCAAUCUAUUUUUUCUGAAUCAAAGUCAGAGUGAUGAGCACAUUUUGACUAUAUUUGACAUUUUUAUCUCCAUUCCAAUUGCGGUUAACAUCUCAAAUAUAUGUAG
Molecule: long non-coding RNA, 2947 nt
Filed under: Triticum aestivum (bread wheat)
Lineage: Eukaryota; Viridiplantae; Streptophyta; Magnoliopsida; Poales; Poaceae
Description: long non-coding RNA (TAES_LNC005973)
Source: RNAcentral